UACGAAGGGAGCUAGCGUUGUUCGGAAUUACUGGGCGUAAAGGGCGCGUAGGCGGUUUUGUAAGUCAGAUGUGAAAGCCCCGGGCUUAACCUGGGAGGUGCAUUUGAAACUGCAAGACUAGAGAUCGAGAGAGGAAAGUGGAAUUACGAGUGUAGAGGUGAAAUUCGUAGAUAUUCGUAAGAACACCAGUGGCGAAGGCGACUUUCUGGCUCGAAACUGACGCUAAGGCGCGAAAGCGUGGGGAGCAAACAGG
This 253-nucleotide ribosomal RNA is filed under the name uncultured bacterium. RNAcentral describes it as "partial 16S ribosomal RNA". It matches the Rfam family "Bacterial small subunit ribosomal RNA", at positions 524 to 776 of the family's 1533-position model. The record is from RNAcentral.